Molecule: ribosomal RNA, 442 nt
Filed under: uncultured bacterium
Lineage: Bacteria
Description: partial 16S ribosomal RNA
Rfam family: Bacterial small subunit ribosomal RNA
Source: RNAcentral
CCUACGGGUGGCAGCAGUGGGGAAUAAUGGGCAAUGGGCGCAAGCCUGACCCAGCAACGCCGCGUGAAGGAAGAAGGCUUUCGGGUUGUAAACUUCUUGUAAGAGGGAAGAGAAGAAGACGGUACGUAUGGAAUAAGCCACGGCUACCGCCGGGCCAGCAGCCGCGGUAAUACGUAGUUGGCAAGCGAUGUCCGGAUUUACUGGGUGGAAAGGGCGUGUAGGCGGGCUGACCAGUCAGAUUUGAAAUUCCGGGGCUCAACCCCGGACCUGCAUUUGAAACUGUUGGUCUUGAGUAUCGGAGAGGCAGGCGGCAUUCCUCGUGUAGCGGUGACAUGCGUAGAUAUUAGGAGGAACACCAGUGGCGAAGGCGGCCUGCUGGACGACAACUGACGGUGAGGCGCGAAAGCGUGGGGAGCAAACAGGAUUAGAUACCCCUGUAGUC